Molecule: ribosomal RNA, 700 nt
Filed under: uncultured Planctomycetota bacterium
Lineage: Bacteria; Pseudomonadati; Planctomycetota
Description: bacterial SSU rRNA
Rfam family: Bacterial small subunit ribosomal RNA
Source: RNAcentral
CGGCGCAAGGGAGAGUAACGCGUGGAUAUCUGCCCUCGGCUCCAGAAUAGCUACGGGAAACUGUAGGUAAUGCUGGAUAAUAUCUCCGGAUUAAAGGUGUGAUUCCGGCCGAGGAUGAGUCCGCGUCCUAUUAGAUUGUUGGUGGGGUAAUGGCCUACCAAGUCGAAGAUGGGUACCGGGUGUGAGAGCAUGGCCCGGCUCACUGGGACUGGGACACUGCCCAGACGUCUACGGACGGCUGCAGUCGAGAAUCUUCCGCAAUGGGCGCAAGCCUGACGGAGCGACGCCGCGUGCGGGAUGAAGGCCUUCGGGUUGUAAACCGCUGUCAGUUGGGAGGAAAUGCUAUGGGGUUCUCUCCAUAGUUUGACCGAUCUUCAGAGGAAGUACGGGCUAAGUACGUGCCAGCAGCCGCGGUAACACGUACCGUACGAACGUUAUUCGGAAUCACUGGGCUUAAAGAGUCCGUAGGCGGCUAUGUAGGUCAGGUGUGAAAUCCCACGGCUCAACCGUGGAACUGCGCUUGAAACCAUAUGGCUAGAGGGAGAUAGAGGAAAGCGGAACUGAUGGUGGAGCGGUGAAAUGCGUUGAUAUCAUCAGGAACACCGGUGGCGAAAGCGGCUUUCUGGGUCUCUUCUGACGCUGAGGGACGAAAGCUAGGGGAGCGAACGGGAUUAGAUACCCCGGUAGUCCUAGCUGUAAA